Molecule: ribosomal RNA, 468 nt
Filed under: uncultured bacterium
Lineage: Bacteria
Description: partial 16S ribosomal RNA
Rfam family: Bacterial small subunit ribosomal RNA
Source: RNAcentral
GACGAACGCUGGCGGCGUGCUUAACACAUGCAAGUCGAACGGAAAGGCCCUGCUUUUGUGGUGUGCUCGAGUGGCGAACGGGUGAGUAACACGUGAGUAACCUGCCCUUGACUUUGGUAUAACUUCAGGAAACUGGGGCUAAUACCGGAUAGGAGCUCCUGCUGCAUGGUGGGGGUUGGAAAGUUUAGGCGGUUGGGGAUGGACUGGCGGCUUAGCAGCUUGUUGGUGGGGUAGUUGCUUACCAAGGCUUUGGCGGGUAGCCGGCCUGGGAGGGUGACCGGCCACCUGGGGACUACGAGAGGGACCAGACUCGUACGGGAGGCAGCAGGGGGAAAUAUUGCACAAUGGGCGGAAGCGUGAUGAAGAAACCCUGGGUGCGGGAUGCCGGCUUUCGGGUUGUAAACCGCUUUCGCCUGUGACGAAGCGUGAGUGACGGUAAUGGGUAAAGAAGCACCGGCUAACUACGUG